GCAUUGGUGGUUUAGUGGUAGAAUUCUCGCCUCCCACUCAUGAGACCUUGGUCCGAUUCCCGGCCAACGCA
This 71-nucleotide transfer RNA is filed under the name Danio rerio (zebrafish). It matches the Rfam family "tRNA". Rfam says of the family: Transfer RNA (tRNA) molecules are approximately 80 nucleotides in length. The record is from Rfam by way of RNAcentral. Lineage: Eukaryota; Metazoa; Chordata; Actinopteri; Cypriniformes; Danionidae.